Glossina fuscipes is the source of this 1991-nucleotide long non-coding RNA. RefSeq lists it as uncharacterized. Lineage: Eukaryota; Metazoa; Arthropoda; Insecta; Diptera; Glossinidae. The transcript has 4 exons. The record is from RefSeq and is a predicted model, not a curated record.
AAUUCUUAGAAUUUUGUUCAUUAGCCUGAAUAUUUGCAAUCCGAGAUAUUAUUUUGUUAAUGGUCACAAUCCGCUCAACUUUUAUGACACCGUCAGGAACCUUCUUGUGUGUUAAUUGAUUCGUAACUUGCAAAUCACUCUCUAAUAGAACAGUUUGAUGAGUAUAUAUCAGACAAGUGAUCUUUAGCGCUUGUUCUUCAUUUCUUACAAAAUAAUGCAUGGUAUAAACCAAAAUGGCAAAUUACAUAAUAUAAAGAAAUGUAAAUUAGUGUAAAAUAAACAUAAAUUAGAUAAAUAAUUUCUGAAUUUCAAGUAACUUGUCUCCAUUUUUUUCUUGUGCUUUAUUUGGGUGUAUAAAUGCACGACCAUAUGAUUUGUCAAUUCCCACGAACUCUUACAAAGAGCCGGGAAAAUUGGAGUCCCCCAACCCGAAAAAAGGUACAAUGCCUCAUUUGGUCAGCCUCCUCGCUGGUUCCGCGCAAAAUGGCUAUUCCUGCGCUUUAACUGAAAACAACAUUUAAAGUUCUGUACAUAAUGGGUGUCUUAUGAAACAACAUAUAUUAAAAUUAUAAAACUCGAAUCUUGCUCUAUGAAAAAGUUGAGGAUAAAGUUAAAGGCUUUAACUGCAAUUGCAGUGAAUAGCAAAACAACGCGGAGACGAAACGUCAAACAAGUACCUCUCUGGUUCGAUAAAAAAUGUUCAUAAGUCUGAGAAAGCAAAUGAAGCGUCAUUGCCCUUAUAAGUUAAAUUCACUUUUAAUCAGAGAAAUGAAGGAAGCUUUGGCCAAAUCGAAUCUACAGAUGAUAACGACUCGAAUAAUUAUGCUUGUCAUUGUCGCAAAUUUUCAUCUCAGCAAACACUUCAUGCCAAGAAAGCUAUAGAGGAAAAUUUAGUGUUGGUUCGGUUGAACAUUGUCAACGGUGGCACGAUAACGAUAAACUCGGUAGUAGUUUGUGAAGAAUCCAAACAAACCAAUAUUUAGGGAAUGUUUUUUUUAAUUGUCGAUUAAAAAAAUUGGUCUGUUGUCAGUCAUGUAUGUAGUAGGAGCGCGUAUCCUGUGUGAUAAUAAAAAGUAGCUGUUUGCAGUUAUAUCGUGAGAGUCGAUUUUAAGGUUCCUUGUUUGUACAUGCUGCCGUUUUACAUAUGUGCUUAGUUAAUUUCUUGGUGACCAACAUAUUUGGGCACGUCCAAUGUCCACCACCCGAUUUUCCGUUGUUAAGAUUUGUGUAAGCAAAACAGUUGCAAUAAAAGAUUGCUGUUAACGUUCUUAACUCAGUUUUGCAGUGUUAGGAUUGAAAAUGGGCUUGAAGCCCUGCUACGAUUGCUAAAAAGAAAAGAAAAUUUGAAAGGAUGUUGCAAUGCGAUGGUGAGCAAUUAUUGAAAUGAAUUUAAAUUUCGCAUAAAUUUCUCCGUCAGAGCCAUCUUAAAUUACGAUGAGCGAGGUCGCUUGUUAUAACGAUGCGUUUGCAACGUGGCCAUGAGCAAAAUUCCUCAUUAAAAUAUCCCCAACGAAACAGCGGAUUUACAACACGUUUUCUACAGCUAUCCUCAAGCCAAUGACGACGUUGUGGAGUAACUAAAUCUUUCGAUACUACGUUUACAACUUUAUUGUACGCGCACGGUGCUCUUGUCUACUACUCUACUGGCGAGAAGUGGAAAAGCGACUACUACAUGUUAUAAAUGAGUUGCAUUUUUUUUCUAGACAGUCCACACAACGGAAAUGAGUGGACAAAAUUGAAGGUCGCUGACGAGCAUUAUAAAAACUAUUCAAAAUGAACUACUAAGGCCUGAACACACUGAACUUGUGUGAGGAAUUGGCUGCAAAUCUAAACGAUAUGACUGCAUUUACCAGAAAAUGUCAGGCUUACAAAAGUAAAGUAGCAUUAAAUGGUUUUGAAGAAAAAGUUGCAGCGAUAUUUGAGACACUUGCCGUUGAUGAGCUACCAAGUGUAUAUACACUUCUCAAACGAUGCAUGAAAGAAUAGAGGAU